GUGGGGAAUCUUGCGCAAUGGGCGAAAGCCUGACGCAGCCAUGCCGCGUGAAUGAUGAAGGUCUUAGGAUUGUAAAAUUCUUUCACCGGGGACGAUAAUGACGGUACCCGGAGAAGAAGCUCCGGCUAACUUCGUGCCAGCAGCCGCGGUAAUACGAAGGGGGCUAGCGUUGCUCGGAAUUACUGGGCGUAAAGGGCGCGUAGGCGGACAGCUUAGUCAGAGGUGAAAGCGUAGGGCUCAACCUUGGAAUUGCCUUUGAUACUGGCUGUCUUGAGUUUGGGAGAGGUGAGUGGAACUCCGAGUGUAGAGGUGAAAUUCGUAGAUAUUCGGAAGAACACCAGUGGCGAAGGCGACUCACUGGCCCAAUACUGACGCUGAGGCGCGAAAGCGUGGGGAGCAAACAGGAUUAGAAACCCUAGUAGUCC
This 425-nucleotide ribosomal RNA is filed under the name uncultured bacterium. RNAcentral describes it as "partial 16S ribosomal RNA". It matches the Rfam family "Bacterial small subunit ribosomal RNA", at positions 354 to 796 of the family's 1533-position model. The record is from RNAcentral.